RNAcentral lists this non-coding RNA (24 nucleotides) under Arabidopsis thaliana (thale cress). The record is from RNAcentral. Lineage: Eukaryota; Viridiplantae; Streptophyta; Magnoliopsida; Brassicales; Brassicaceae.
UAUAGAUAUGUAGUGUGAUGUAGA